AGAGUUUGAUCCUGGCUCAGGACGAACGCUGGCGGUGCGCCUUAUGCAUGCAAGUCGAGCGAAGCUUUUCAGUAGUUUACUACAGAAAAUGACUGAGCGGCGAACGGGUGAGUAACGCGUGAGCAAUCUACCUUAGUUACUGGGAUAGCCCGAGGAAACUCGGAUUAAUACCGGAUAAUCUUAAUACGUCACAUGAAGUUUUAAGCAAAGGUCAGCCGAACUAAGAUGAGCUCGCGUUCUAUCAGCUUGUUGGUGGGGUAAAAGCCUACCAAGGCUACGACGGAUAGCUGGUCUGAGAGGACGAUCAGCCACACUGGGACUGAGACACGGCCCAGACUCCUACGGGAGGCUGCAGCAGGGAAUAUUGCGCAAUGAGCGAAAGCUUGACGCAGCGACACCGCGUGUGGGAUGAAGGUUCUAGGAUUGUAAACCACUUUCAGGAGGGAAGAAAUGACGGUACCUCCACAAAAAGUCCCGGCCAACUACGUGCCAGCAGCCGCGGUAAUACGUAGGGGGCGAGCGUUGUCCGGAUUUAUUGGGCGUAAAGAGCUCGUAGGCGGUUCNACAAGUCGGUCGGNAAAUUCAGGGCUCACCCUGAAAUGGCAACCAAACUGUUGGGACUAGAA
Molecule: ribosomal RNA, 626 nt
Filed under: uncultured marine bacterium
Lineage: Bacteria
Description: bacterial SSU rRNA
Rfam family: Bacterial small subunit ribosomal RNA
Source: RNAcentral